GUAUGUGGCUCAGUGUUAGAGUGCUCCCCUAGCACGUGUGAGGUGCUGGGUUUGAUCCUCAGUACUACA
Molecule: transfer RNA, 69 nt
Filed under: Marmota monax (woodchuck)
Lineage: Eukaryota; Metazoa; Chordata; Mammalia; Rodentia; Sciuridae
Description: tRNA.Ala
Source: RNAcentral